RNAcentral lists this non-coding RNA (317 nucleotides) under Oryza sativa Indica Group (long-grained rice). Lineage: Eukaryota; Viridiplantae; Streptophyta; Magnoliopsida; Poales; Poaceae. The record is from RNAcentral.
AAUUACCCUAAUACAUAAUAUCUCAAUAAAAUCUAAAAAUUUUACGUACUUCAAUAAAAUGAUAAAAUUACCCUAAUACCUAAUACCUCAAUAAAAUCUAAAAAUUUUUACACAUAAAAAAUAAUACCUCUAUGUACAAAAAUUUAAAGACCGUAAAAUUUCUCAAGGUUUAAUUUUGGGUUACUAGCUAUACUGUUGGUAUUUCUUAACGACAUUAUUAGGAAUAUAAAUUCCCAGCAAUGGCCGAGAGUAUUAUAAGGUAUCGUAUUUAUUUAAUCCCAAGGGAAGAUUGUAAGAGAGAACUAUGCUAAUAAUGU